This 326-nucleotide ribosomal RNA is filed under the name uncultured eukaryote. RNAcentral's name for it is "partial 18S ribosomal RNA". It matches the Rfam family "Eukaryotic small subunit ribosomal RNA", at positions 1470 to 1796 of the family's 1831-position model. The record is from RNAcentral.
CCCUUAGAUGUUCUGGGCCGCACACGCGCUACACUGAAGGAGGCAGCGUGUACUCCUGGAUCGAAAGAUUUGGGUAACCCGCGAAUCUCCUUCGUGCUAGGGAUUGAGGUUUGCAAUUAUCCUUCAUGAACGAGGAAUUCCCAGUAAGUGCAAGUCAUAAGCUUGCGCUGACUACGUCCCUGCCCUUUGUACACACCGCCCGUCGCUACUACCGAUUGAGCAUUAGGGUGAAAUCUUCGGACCGUGGCAUACUUCUGGCCUAGCCAGUCUUUGUCCGUGGGAGGUCGCUUAAAUCCUGAUGCUUAGAGGAAGUAAAAGUCGUAACA